AGUGAACGCUGGCGGCAGGCCUAACACAUGCAAGUCGAGCGGCAGCGCGUCCGACCACCCUCGGGUGGUCGGAUGGCGGCGAGCGGCGGACGGGUGAAGAAUGCAUCGGAAUCUGCCUCGUUGUGGGGGAUAACGUAGGGAAACUUACGCUAAUACCGCAUACGACCUACGGGUGAAAGUGGGGGACCUUCGGGCCUCACGCGAUGAGAUGAGCCGAUGCCGGAUUAGCUAGUUGGCGGGGUAAAGGCCCACCAAGGCGACGAUCCGUAGCUGGUCUGAGAGGAUGAUCAGCCACACUGGAACUGAGACACGGUCCAGACUCCUACGGGAGGCAGCAGUGGGGAAUAUUGGACAAUGGGGGGCAACCCUGAUCCAGCCAUGCCGCGUGUGUGAAGAAGGCCUCGGUUGUAAG
This 412-nucleotide ribosomal RNA is filed under the name uncultured bacterium. RNAcentral describes it as "bacterial SSU rRNA". It matches the Rfam family "Bacterial small subunit ribosomal RNA", at positions 30 to 429 of the family's 1533-position model. The record is from RNAcentral.